AGCGCACCUUGCACUCUUUGGUAUUCCGAAGAGUAUGUCUGUUUGAGUGUCAUGAAGUUCUCAACCCCCUCAUUUUGUAACGAAACGAGCGUGGGCUUGGAUUAUGGUUGUUUGUCGGCGUAAAGCCGGCUCAGCUGAAAUACACGAGCAAUCCACUUUGAAAUAGACGGUUUGACUUGGCGUAAUAAUUAUUUCGCUGAGGACGUCCGAUUCAAUGUAGUGAUGCUUCUAAUUCAUUAAUCAUUUAAGCUUUAGACCUCAAAUCAGUCAGGACUACCCGCUGAACUUAA
This 290-nucleotide unclassified non-coding RNA is filed under the name uncultured fungus. RNAcentral describes it as "partial contains 5.8S ribosomal RNA, internal transcribed spacer 2, and large subunit ribosomal RNA". Lineage: Eukaryota; Fungi. The record is from RNAcentral.